UGAGGAAUAUUGGUCAAUGGUCGGGAGACUGAACCAGCCAAGCCGCGUGAGGGAAGACGGUCCUAUGGAUUGUAAACCUCUUUAGGCGGGGAGCAAUGCCGGGCACGCGUGCCCGGAGGGAGAGUACCCGCAGAAUAAGCAUCGGCUAACUCCGUGCC
RNAcentral lists this ribosomal RNA (158 nucleotides) under uncultured bacterium. Its description in RNAcentral is "partial 16S ribosomal RNA". It matches the Rfam family "Bacterial small subunit ribosomal RNA", at positions 355 to 509 of the family's 1533-position model. The record is from RNAcentral.